Molecule: ribosomal RNA, 1370 nt
Filed under: uncultured bacterium
Lineage: Bacteria
Description: bacterial SSU rRNA
Rfam family: Bacterial small subunit ribosomal RNA
Source: RNAcentral
GAUGAACGCUGGCGGCGUGCCUAAUACAUGCAAGUCGAGCGAACGGACGAGAAGCUUGCUUCUCUGAUGUUAGCGGCGGACGGGUGAGUAACACGUGGAUAACCUACCUAUAAGACUGGGAUAACUUCGGGAAACCGGAGCUAAUACCGGAUAAUAUUUUGAACCGCAUGGUUCAAAAGUGAAAGACGGUCUUGCUGUCACUUAUAGAUGGAUCCGCGCUGCAUUAGCUAGUUGGUAAGGUAACGGCUUACCAAGGCAACGAUGCAUAGCCGACCUGAGAGGGUGAUCGGCCACACUGGAACUGAGACACGGUCCAGACUCCUACGGGAGGCAGCAGUAGGGAAUCUUCCGCAAUGGGCGAAAGCCUGACGGAGCAACGCCGCGUGAGUGAUGAAGGUCUUCGGAUCGUAAAACUCUGUUAUUAGGGAAGAACAUAUAUGUAAGUAACUGUGCACAUCUUGACGGUACCUAAUCAGAAAGCCACGGCUAACUACGUGCCAGCAGCCGCGGUAAUACGUAGGUGGCAAGCGUUAUCCGGAAUUAUUGGGCGUAAAGCGCGCGUAGCGGUUUUUUAGUCUGAUGUGAAAGCCCACGGCUCAACCGUGGAGGGUCAUUGGAAACUGGAAAACUUGAGUGCAGAAGAGGAAAGUGGAAUUCCAUGUGUAGCGGUGAAAUGCGCAGAGAUAUGGAGGAACACCAGUGGCGAAGGCGACUUUCUGGUCUGUAACUGACGCUGAUGCGCGAAAGCGUGGGGAUCAAACAGGGUUAGAUACCCUGGUAGUCCACGCCGUAAACGAUGAGUGCUAAGUGUUAGGGGGUUUCCGCCCCUUAGUGCUGCAGCUAACGCAUUAAGCACUCCGCCUGGGGAGUACGACCGCAAGGUUGAAACUCAAAGGAAUUGACGGGGACCCGCACAAGCGGUGGAGCAUGUGGUUUAAUUCGAAGCAACGCGAAGAACCUUACCAAAUCUUGACAUCCUUUGACAACUCUAGAGAUAGAGCUUUCCCCUUCGGGGGACAAAGUGACAGGUGGUGCAUGGUUGUCGUCAGCACGUGUCGUGAGAUGUUGGGUUAAGUCCCGCAACGAGCGCAACCCUUAAGCUUAGUUGCCAUCAUUAAGUUGGGCACUCUAAGUUGACUGCCGGUGACAAACCGGAGGAAGGUGGGGAUGACGUCAAAUCAUCAUGCCCCUUAUGAUUUGGGCUACACACGUGCUACAAUGGACAAUACAAAGGGCAGCGAAACCGCGAGGUCAAGCAAAUCCCAUAAAGUUGUUCUCAGUUCGGAUUGUAGUCUGCAACUCGACUACAUGAAGCUGGAAUCGCUAGUAAUCGUAGAUCAGCAUGCUACGGUGAAUACGUUCCCGGGUCU